AAAACUUUUCGCUAAUAGAAGAGCCUAUGUAGGAUUAGGUAGUUGGUAUUUUGGGUAAAAGCCUACCAAGCCUAAGAUCCUUAGCUGUUCUGAGAGGUUGAACAGCCACACUGGGACUGAGACAAGGCCCAUGCUCCAUUUGGAGCCAGCAGUGAGGAAUUUUGGACAAUGAGCGAAAGCUUGAUCCAGCAAUACUACAUGAGUGAAGAAGGCUUUCAAGUUGUAACACUCUUUGGUUGAGGAGGAUAAUGACAGUACUCAACAAAAUAGCCCCGGCUAACUUCGUGCCAGCAGCCGCGGUAAGACGAAGGGGGCGAGCGUUAUCCGGAAUGACUGGGCGUAAAGGGUCCGUAGGCAGCAUUUUUUGUUGGAAGUUAAAUAAAAAAGCUUAACUUUUUUCCGCUUCUAAAACGUAAAUGCUUUGAGUUUGAUAGAAGAUAGCAGAAUUUCACAAGGAGGGGUGAUAUCCAGAGAUCUGUGAAGGAAUAUCAGAUGCGAAGGCGGCUAUCUAGAUCAACACUGACGUUGAGGGACGAAAGCAUGGGGAGCAAACAGGAUUAGAUACCCUGGUAGUCCAUGCCCUAAAAGAUGAGUGUUCGUGCUUAGAGAACUUUAGGCACUUAGUUAACACGUUAAACACUCCGCCUGGGGAGUACGAUCGCAAGGUUGGAACUCAAAGGAAUUGACGGGGGCCUAUACAAGUGGUGGAGCAUGUGGUUUAAUGCGAUAAUACGCGCGAAACCUUACCAGUUCUUGACAUAAAAAGGAAAAAGUUUGAAAAAGCAAUUUUAAAGAUUUUUACAGGUGCUGCAUGGCUGUCGUAAGCUCGUGUCGUGA
This 837-nucleotide ribosomal RNA is filed under the name uncultured organism. RNAcentral describes it as "bacterial SSU rRNA". It matches the Rfam family "Bacterial small subunit ribosomal RNA", at positions 207 to 1070 of the family's 1533-position model. The record is from RNAcentral.